UCGAGCGCGGGAAGCAGGCAGAUCCUCUUCCGAGGUGACGCUUGUGGAACGAGCGGCGGACGGGUGAGUAACACGUGGGCAACCUGCCUGUAAGAUUGGGAUAACCCCGGGAAACCGGGGCUAAUACCGGAUAAUACUUUUCGUUGCAUAACGAGAAGUUGAAAGGCGGCUUUUAGCUGUCACUUACAGAUGGGCCCGCGGCGCAUUAGCUAGUUGGUAAGGUAACGGCUUACCAAGGCGACGAUGCGUAGCCGACCUGAGAGGGUGAUCGGCCACACUGGGACUGAGACACGGCCCAGACUCCUACGGGAGGCAGCAGUAGGGAAUCUUCCGCAAUGGACGAAAGUCUGACGGAGCAACGCCGCGUGAGUGAUGAAGGUUUUCGGAUCGUAAAACUCUGUUGUCAGGGAAGAACAAGUGCCGUUCAAAUAGGGCGGCACCUUGACGGUACCUGACCAGAAAGCCCCGGCUAACUACGUGCCAGCAGCCGCGGUAAUACGUAGGGGGCAAGCGUUGUCCGGAAUUAUUGGGCGUAAAGCGCGCGCAGGCGGUCCUUUAAGUCUGAUGUGAAAGCCCACGGCUUAACCGUGGAGGGCCAUUGGAAACUGGAGGACUUGAGUACAGAAGAGGAGAGUGGAAUUCCACGUGUAGCGGUGAAAUGCGUAGAGAUGUGGAGGAACACCAGUGGCGAAGGCGACUCUCUGGUCUGUAACUGACGCUGAGGUGCGAAAGCGUGGGGAGCGAACAGGAUUAGAUACCCUGGUAGUCCACGCCGUAAACGAUGAGUGCUAGGUGUUAGGGGGUUUCCGCCCCUU
Molecule: ribosomal RNA, 815 nt
Filed under: Virgibacillus sp.
Lineage: Bacteria; Bacillati; Bacillota; Bacilli; Caryophanales; Bacillaceae
Description: bacterial SSU rRNA
Rfam family: Bacterial small subunit ribosomal RNA
Source: RNAcentral